Molecule: long non-coding RNA, 566 nt
Filed under: Nicotiana benthamiana
Lineage: Eukaryota; Viridiplantae; Streptophyta; Magnoliopsida; Solanales; Solanaceae
Description: long non-coding RNA (NBEN_LNC030294)
Source: RNAcentral
GAUAGUUUAUACAAUACAAUUCAGUUCAAUCUAUACAGUUCAUAAGAUAAUACAGUCCAAUGUUUACACAAAUUAAAUUUUGUUCUAAUCAUCUAAAUCUUUAUUACUGCCAUUGUACAUCUAAUAUUUGACAUUAACCAAAAAAUCGACAACAAAUUGGCAUGAUCCAGAUUGCAUGUUUUCAAUUAACCAGUACACCUUGAUUCACUCCUUCAUACAUCAAUUGGAGUAGGAAAAAUACCUGCACGUGCAGUCUAGAAAAUUCAACAGCUUAGGAAAGAUAUAAAACCAAAUACAAACAGCCAAUUGACCUAAAACCAACUCAAUUGUAGCACCGAAUAAAUGACUCAAGAACAAACGCAAUUGCAACAAAAAAAAAACAAUCGAAAUCCAACCAGAAAAACCCCUAAAACUACGGCAACCAUAUGCUGAACUAAAAAUGUAACUCAAUAGCUAGGAGUUGAAAUUCAUUUCAAGUUCCAACGGAACAGUAGGCUUUUUUUAAAAAAAAAACUUUCUAUUCUUUUUUGAUUUUCUAUUGAAGAAGCUAAAAUCUAAGAGGAAUU